RNAcentral lists this long non-coding RNA (694 nucleotides) under Sus scrofa (pig). Its description in RNAcentral is "lncRNA (ENSSSCG00005002417.1)". The record is from RNAcentral. Lineage: Eukaryota; Metazoa; Chordata; Mammalia; Artiodactyla; Suidae.
AGGAGUGUGACUAGGAGGCUGGGGCGGCCGGCCGUAGUCAGCAGGAGACAGAGGUGGGGCUGGCGCGAGGAUGCAGAGGGGAGGUGGGGAACCCGGCCUCAAUGGACCAAGUUUCAGCCAGGGAGGCAGAUGGGUUGUGCGUGGGCAGUUCAGAAGCAUCAGUGCGGACAGAGAUCCGCGAGCCGCACGCCUUCGCGUCAGUCGCGUCUGUUUGAUUCUCCCCAGUGAAGUUUCUCCCAACCCCCAUCCCGACCAAGAAGCCACUGAAGAAAAGAACCAGAUGGAGCUCCUUGAGAUGCGUCUACAUGAUCCUCACCUUCUUGUUCGUGUCCUACAACAAAGGCGACUGGUGUUACUGCCAUUACUGUAACCCAGAAGUGGACACCAGAAGUGACCCCUGCUGUGCUUUCUAGCAGCCCUGCUGCACCUCCACUCCGCCGUCACAACUCCUCCGUCUCCCAGGCAGACAGUCUCACCUCUCCGAGAAAACUCUGUCCCCUAGAUGACCGAUUUGGAGGGUAACGCGUUGGGUCCUUUGAGGAAUAGCGCCUGUCUGCUCAGAGGCGUGGCAGGAAGGUGUCUCUGAGAAGAUGCGCCCAGAGAGUCACUGAGCCAGCCUCUGCAGGGGUGCUCCCCACACCUCCUCUUAAGCCUUUCUCAACACUUCCGCCCGUAGCCGUAAUAAAAUGUGCAC